This 2720-nucleotide long non-coding RNA is filed under the name Sus scrofa (pig). RNAcentral describes it as "lncRNA (ENSSSCG00000058614.1)". The record is from RNAcentral. Lineage: Eukaryota; Metazoa; Chordata; Mammalia; Artiodactyla; Suidae.
GUGGCAUAUGAGGGUCCCAGGGGUUGAAUCUGAGCUGUAGCCCCUGGCCUACGCCACAGCACAGCAAUGCCAGAUCCAAGCCACUUCUGCAACCUACACCACAGUUCACGGCAAGGCGGGAUCCUUAACCCAUUGAUCAAGGCCAGGGAUGGAACAUCUCUGAAACUGGCUAUUUCCCCAAGGAUCCCUGGUUCCCUUUAAUGGGAAGCGGUACUUAGAUAAGUCCACAUGAUGGGUUUGCAUUUUUCUAGGUUGUUUGUAUUUCUAGGCCUUUUCAUGUGAUAGAUUUAGGAAAUACAUUAAGAACUAAGUACAGGAGUUCCCCGUUGUGGUUCAGAGGAAAUGAACCUGACUAGUAUCUGAAGAUGUGUGUUUGAUCCCUGGACUCGCUCAUUGGGUGUUAUAGGUGAGGUUGCACUAUAGGAAUAAAAAAAAUCAUGAAUAAAAGUGGAAAAGAUUUUGUACUAAAAACCUCAUGGAGCCCUCAACAAAUUACCAUAACCAUCUUGUAAUGACUAUAUUGAUAAAACGUUAGUAGAAUGGUUAAACAUAAGCGUUGGAGUUCAUCUUCCACCUGUUCAUUCAGCCUCAUUGUUUUGAUGUCUUGUGAGAUGGUGGUGAGCAGAAACCAGGGAACACAUUAGUUCUUGGAGUGGUUAGAGAGUACUCAGAACCUGAUGUAUGUACAAUAUGAGCAGUUAAUGAACAUGCUUCCUAAACAUAAGAAAACCAAGAAUUUGUGAUUGGGAAUCACCUUUUGUAAUUGAUUUUGGCAGUUAAGGGUUUUUCUUUUUUUGUUUGUUUUGUUUUUGCUUUUGGUUCUAAAGGCAAAAUGGCUCUUGGCUUAGAAACUGGAUAAUAAAUAUAAACCCAUGCCCCUAUUUUGAAGGGUUUUGAUAUUUGUUAAGAAAAAUAGAAUGAUAAUUUGUUACCCUUACCUAAAGUCAAGUUUUUUUUUUCUUUUUUACAAAAUCUCAUUUAAAAAAUGCAUGUUUAUUUUCUUUUGUUAAAUCCAGAGAAAUCAUCUAGGAUAAAACUAAGUGAAAUCUGAUUAUAUUUAGAUAGCUCAUGCUCCAAAACACCCAAGUUGUCAUUACUCAGCCCAUCCAUUUCCAUCCCCAACAUUUAUUUACCUGGAUCCUUGCACAUUAUUGGACAGUCUAGGAAUGGAGAGAGAGACAAACGUGUCAGUCUUUAGACCACUUGUGAUUUUAGACAAAUGGCUUGGAGUGUGGACCUAGAACCUUUAGAGCAACUUGGACAUCAACAACACCUGUCUAGCCUGCAAUUGGACUCUUUCAAUCAUGCCUGGCUGUCUUUUCUUUCACUUCCUUCUUUCCACCGGGUCUUUCAUGCAUAUAUCUUACUAGCUCAACAUAGGUUCUUUUUCUUUAAAUUAAUACCUGCUUUCUUUGAUUCUUCAGUUCUGAUCUGGUUUUGCCAGUUCAAGAAGUACUUUAGGAAUACUCAUUCAUUACUGUAUUCCCUUAACUUCCAGUGCUAGUCCAGGAAGGUGGUAGGUAUACAACAAGUUUUUGUAGGUGUCACAUUUCUACUUGCUGAGCUGCUUAUAUUGAGAAAACCAGUAAAACAACAAAGCUGGAUUAUAUUAUGUAAACUCAGUGGGACCAUCAGAAUGUGGAGAGUUGUAUUGGUGACUUGCAGUUACCUAGUACUGCAUAACAAAACCAUUCCCAAAACUUGAAAUAUCAACAAGAUUUAUUUUACUGACUGUGCUUAGAUAGUUCAUUUCUGCACUACUGAGCCUCACUGGAAGCAGCUUUAAAGAAUAGGGACUAGAAUCAUCUGAAUGCUCUUCAUGCACCGGUGUUCUAUGCUGGAUAAGGCUUCAGGUGAGAUAUGUCCAGAACUUUACCCAGACUUCACAGAGUGGUGGCUGGAGUCCAAGAGUUGGGCCAAGUUUUAUCCUUUUAGGACUUGCCCUGGGAAGUCAUCACUUCUGUAUUCUGUUGGUUUAAUGGGAGAGCACUCUACAUCUUCCUGGAGGAAUAAGAUUUGAGGAAGGUGAGAAGAACUGAUAUCUUUUAAGGGCUGCAAUUUAUAUAUGGAAAUUUAGUUUCAGUGGGACUUUGCAUUAUAAAUUUUAAUCAUCAUUUUUAAAAAUUCAACCAUUUAAGAUAAUAGAAAUAGGAGUUCCCAUUGUGGCUCAGAGGAAACGAAUCUGACUAGUAUCCAUGAGGAUGCAGUUUUGAUCCCUGGCCUCCCUCAGUGGGAUCUGGCAUUGCUGUGUGCUGUUGUGUAGGUCAAGCCAAGGCUUGGACCUGGGGUUGCUAUGGCUGUGGGGUAGGCCAGCAGCUAUAGCUCCGAUUUGACCCCUAGCCUGGGAACCUCCAUAUGCGGUGCUUGUGGCCCUAAAAAGACUGGGAGAAAAAAAAAAGAUAAUGGAAAGAAUACUUUAUUCUUAGAGUUAUUUGAGGAUGGUAAUUCUAUAUGUAAGGAUAGAAGUUAAAUAACAGGAGUUGCUGUGUAGCUCAGCGGAUUAAGACCCCAACAUUGGUGUCCAUGAGAAUGUGGGUUUGAUCCCUGGCCUGCCUCAAUGGGUUAAGGAUCCAGUGUUGCUGCAAGCUGUAGCAUAGGUUGCAGCUGUGGCUGCAGAUCUGGCAUUCCUGUGGCGUAGGCCAGCAGCUGCAGCUCUCAUUAAACCCCUAGCCCAGAAACAACAAUAUGCUGCAAGUACAGCCCUAAAAAGAAAAAAAAAA